This is a long non-coding RNA of Thunnus maccoyii (southern bluefin tuna), 586 nucleotides long. RefSeq lists it as uncharacterized. NCBI's taxonomy places the organism in Eukaryota, Metazoa, Chordata, Actinopteri, Scombriformes, Scombridae. The record is from RefSeq and is a predicted model, not a curated record. The transcript is spliced from 3 exons.
CAGAGCAUGCCCGCCUGACCGCCGUUUCUCCGCUCUGAAGAUAAUCAACGGAAGACGUGCCGUGUGCGCACAGCUGCGUUCGUCCGGUUUUUGGUCCAUCUUGUGCAGUCAGCGUUGUUCCCCUGUAACGAGCAUCAGCGCGGAAUGGAUUGCUCCGUUUCAUUCCCGAUUUGGUGAGAUGUUGCACUGGAUGCUUAUAGCCUACCCUUUACAUCAGCUCACCCCUGUGCGUUCAUCUCACUCUGUAUGCAGUAGCGCCUUGUCAGCGUAGACAGGGCAAAGAAAAGUAUGCAAUAAACAAGUGUCAAGUCGCUUCGGGCUGUUCGAUUGGAGGGAAGGAAAAGUUGAAGUUGAAGACGGAGGAUUAUGCAGUGAGUGCCGCGCAUUGCUGGAAUCAGAAUCCAGGCACGUUUUCUGGAGUAUGUCGAAAGGCUUCCUGGGAAAUAUAGAAAAUCACUAACUGAAGCAGAAGUAGAUGAAGGAUGGUUGACAGAAAGUGGAUACAACAGAAAGGUGACUGAAGUGAAGACUGACAUUACGGAGGCCCACUAGGAGGCCCCUCCAUCUCCCCCCACCACCACCACCU